GUCUCCAUGGUCUAGUUGGUGUUAUGACGGCGGUCUCAUAUCUUCAUAUGACAGCUCUAAAACAGCUGGAUAUCCGCAGGUCACGAGUUCGAUCCUCGUUGGAGGCA
Molecule: transfer RNA, 107 nt
Filed under: Aspergillus melleus
Lineage: Eukaryota; Fungi; Ascomycota; Eurotiomycetes; Eurotiales; Aspergillaceae
Description: tRNA-Met
Rfam family: tRNA
About the family: Transfer RNA (tRNA) molecules are approximately 80 nucleotides in length. Their secondary structure includes four short double-helical elements and three loops (D, anti-codon, and T loops).
Source: RNAcentral